GCCCUGUCUAAGCAACUUUUGAGAAAGCAGUAUUCCUCGUUCAACAAAAUCAACGUACCUUGAGCUAGCUCUAGAGUAACGUAUCAAUUGAGACACAUCUUCUCCAUAUGCUGGUGCCUCUGGGAUGUUGCUACACAGAAAUGGAAAGUUGACUAUAGGAAAAUUAAAAUCAUCGCGUUUGUCAUAAAUUUUGGUAUUCAACCUACCAUCAGUAGUCAUUUCGAGAAAAAGGUCUAAAUAUGAAGCAGAUUUAUCUGUGUCGGUAGUAUCUUUAAUUUCAAGUUCACUCGGAUAUAUUAAAUGUAAG
Molecule: long non-coding RNA, 307 nt
Filed under: Mytilus galloprovincialis (Mediterranean mussel)
Lineage: Eukaryota; Metazoa; Mollusca; Bivalvia; Mytilida; Mytilidae
Source: RNAcentral